RNAcentral lists this long non-coding RNA (247 nucleotides) under Setaria italica (foxtail millet). Its description in RNAcentral is "long non-coding RNA (SITA_LNC001106)". Lineage: Eukaryota; Viridiplantae; Streptophyta; Magnoliopsida; Poales; Poaceae. The record is from RNAcentral.
AGCUCGUGCUGGUCUUCCCCAUCGCCAGGGAGAGGACCACAGGUGGACUCGUGGACAAGGAGACAGAGAGAGUGGAUAGAGAAGCGUGGUAAAGCUGACAUGUGGAUCUACAUGUCCACGUCACCACGUAGUGAGCAUGCCAUGUAGGCAUAUUAAUGGAAGUUCUAGAGAUUUGACCUAUAUGGGACAAUUAGUAAGUUUGAGGAUUUUAUUAUGCAUUUUAGAAGUUUCGAGACAUAGAUGAUAC